Molecule: long non-coding RNA, 764 nt
Filed under: Ananas comosus (pineapple)
Lineage: Eukaryota; Viridiplantae; Streptophyta; Magnoliopsida; Poales; Bromeliaceae
Description: long non-coding RNA (ACOM_LNC007602)
Source: RNAcentral
GAUGAUGGAGCCUCCAAAUCGACAAUCGUCACCGUUGAACAUAAUCUAUACUGCUUGAAAUAUUUAGAAAAUGUAUGAAAUUUAAUUUCUAAAUACUUCAAAUGGUAUAGAUCAUGUUCAACGGUGCCAAUCAUCAAUUUGGAGGCUCCAUCAUCGAAAACAAAUGGGUGGCAAAAGUGUCGGUUUGCUAUCGAUAUUAUUCUGGCUCAACUCUAUAUAUAUAUAUAAAGUUCGGCUACGGUGCUUGUAAAAAUACCAACCACUCGGUACUUGUAAAUUUUCUACUAUUAGAUCUACGUAUUUGAUUAUUUUCACCCGUUAGAUUAUACUAUUCAACCAACCACCCACUCAAUCCUAGGGGGCUCACAUCAUCCUAACCGCACAUCCCUUAAUCCAAGGGUCGAAAACUUACAAGCAUCAAUGACUUGAUACUUUAAAAGCAUAGGAGCUCAAUUAUAUAUAUAUAUUAUUCAAAAAUAAUAAUACUGUUAGUCUUCGCUGAGUUAUCUCAAAUUAAAUUCUAAUUAAAUUUAUAUCAGAAUUCAGAAAAAUUAAAGUAAUUUAUUUGUUACUAAUUUAAUGACAAAUAAAAAAAAUUAAUAAUAAUAAAAUAAUAUAUUUGAAAGAAUAAAAUAACAACUUUACAGAGAUAAUUAUUGUUAACUAUUUAUUAAUAGAAUUUUAACUCUAUGUGUAUAUUUAAAAAAAUUUGACAUGUUAAAAAAGUAUUUUUUUAUUCUAUUAAAUCUGAGAAAUAUAAGAAC